Molecule: ribosomal RNA, 216 nt
Filed under: Glomeromycotina sp.
Lineage: Eukaryota; Fungi; Glomeromycota
Description: partial small subunit ribosomal RNA
Rfam family: Eukaryotic small subunit ribosomal RNA (bases 44-216)
Source: RNAcentral
GGGUCAGUAGGUUGGUCGUGCCACCGGUACGUACUGGUCUCACUGAUUCCUCCUUCCUGAAGAACCGUAAUGCCAUUAAUUUGGUGUUGCGGGGAAACAGGACUGUUACUUUGAAAAAAUUAGAGUGUUUAAAGCAAGCUAACGCUUGAAUACAUUAGCACGGACUAAUGAAAUAGGACGAUCGAUCCUAUUUUGUUGGUUUCUAGGAUUGACGUA